CGAGUUGGCGAACGGGUGAGUAACGCGUGAGGAACCUGCCUCAAAGAGGGGGACAACAGUUGGAAACGACUGCUAAUACCGCAUAAGCCCACAGCUCGGCAUCGAGCAGAGGGAAAAGGAGUGAUCCGCUUUGAGAUGGCCUCGCGUCCGAUUAGCUGGUUGGUGAGGUAACGGCCCACCAAGGCGACGAUCGGUAGCCGGACUGAGAGGUUGAACGGCCACAUUGGGACUGAGACACGGCCCAGACUCCUACGGGAGGCAGCAGUGGGGAAUAUUGCACAAUGGGGGAAACCCUGAUGCAGCGACGCCGCGUGGAGGAAGAAGGUCUUCGGAUUGUAAACUCCUGUUGUUGAGGAAGAUAAUGACGGUACUCAACAAGGAAGUGACGGCUAACUACGUGCCAGCAGCCGCGGUAAAACGUAGGUCACAAGCGUUGUCCGGAAUUACUGGGUGUAAAGGGAGCGCAGGCGGGAAAGCAAGUUGGAAGUGAAAUCCAUGGGCUCAACCCAUGAACUGCUUUCAAAACUGUUUUUCUUGAGUAGUGCAGAGGUAGGCGGAAUUCCCGGUGUAGCGGUGGAAUGCGUAGAUAUCGGGAGGAACACCAGUGGCGAAGGCGGCCUACUGGGCACCAACUGACGCUGAGGCUCGAAAGUGUGGGUAGCAAACAGGAUUAGAUACCCUGGUAGUCCACACUGUAAACGAUGAUUACUAGGUGUUGGAGGAUUGACCCCUUCAGUGCCGCAGUUAACACAAUAAGUAAUCCACCUGGGGAGUACGACCGCAAGGUUGAAACUCAAAGGAAUUGACGGGGGCCCGCACAAGCAGUGGAGUAUGUGGUUUAAUUCGACGCAACGCGAA
This 858-nucleotide ribosomal RNA is filed under the name Faecalibacterium prausnitzii. Its description in RNAcentral is "bacterial SSU rRNA". It matches the Rfam family "Bacterial small subunit ribosomal RNA", at positions 91 to 965 of the family's 1533-position model. The record is from RNAcentral. Lineage: Bacteria; Bacillati; Bacillota; Clostridia; Eubacteriales; Oscillospiraceae.